AGUGGAUGGGGAGCAACCUAGUUGUGCGUGUGUAAAGGUAGUGCCAAGAAAAGCGGUGAUCAUGAUGAAAAUCAAUUCCCGGUACCCGAAACCGACACAGGUGGGCAAGUAGAGAAUACUAAGGGGCGCGAGGUAACUCUCUCCAAGGAACUCGGCAAAAUGACCCCGUAACUUAGGGAGAAGGGGUGCCACCGAGAGGUGGUCGCAGUGAAGAGGCCCAGGCGACUGUUUAGCAAAAACAUAGGUCUCUGCAAACUCGAAAGAGGAGGUAUAGGGGCUGACGCCUGCCCAGUGCCAAAGGUUAAAGAAGUUGGUCAGUCUUAGGAUAAAGCUAGCGACUGAAGCCCCGGUGAACGGCGGCCGUAACUAUAACGGUCCUAAGGUAGCGAAAUUCCUUGUCGGGUAAGUUCCGACCCGCACGAAAGGCGUAACGAUCUGGGCGCUGUCUCGGAGAGAGGCUCGGCGAAAUAGGAUUGUCUGUGAAGAUACGGACUACCUGCAUUUGGACAGAAAGACCCUAUGAAGCUUUACUAUAGCUUGGAAUUGUGUUCGGGCUUCCUGUGCGCAGGAUAGGUGGGAGGCGAAGAAGGUAUUCUUGUGGGGAUACUGGAGCCAACGGUGAGAUACCACUCUCAGGAGGCUAGAAUUCUAACUUAAUUAAGGACAGUUUCAGGUGGGUAGUUUGACUGGGGCGGUCGCCUCCAAAAAGGUAACGGAGGCGUACAAAGGUUCCCUCAGACUGGUUGGAAAUCUGUCGCAGAGUGCAAAGGCAGAAGGGAGCUUGACUGCGAGAAGUACAGUUCGAGCAGGGUGGAAACACGGUCUUAGUGAUCCGACGGUGCUGUGUGGAAGGGCCGUCGAUCAACGGAUAAAAGUUACUCUAAGGAUAACAGGCUGAUCUCCCCCAAGAGUUCACAUCGACGGGGAGGUUUGGCACCUCGAUGUCGGCUCAUCGCAACCUGGGGCGGAAGUACGUCCCAAGGGUUGGGCUGUUCGCCCAUUAAAGCGGUACGUGAGCUGGGUUCAGAACGUCAUGAGACAGUUCGGUCCAUAUCCGAUGUAGGCGUGAGAAUAUUGAGAGGAGCCUUCCUUAGUACGAGAGGACCGGGAAGGACGCACCGCUGGUGUACCUGUUAUGAUGCCAAUUGUAAACGCAGGGUAGCCAAGUGCGGAGAGGAUAACCGCUGAAAGCAUCUAAGUGGGAAGCCCACCUCAAGAUGAGUAUUCUGGUGUAAGGUCACGGGAAGACGACCCGUAAAUAGGCACGAGGUGGAAGUGCAGAGAUGUAUGAAGCCGAAGUGUACUAAUAGACCGUCGGCUUGACC
This 1325-nucleotide ribosomal RNA is filed under the name metagenome. RNAcentral describes it as "bacterial LSU rRNA". It matches the Rfam family "Bacterial large subunit ribosomal RNA", at positions 1561 to 2925 of the family's 2925-position model. The record is from RNAcentral.